AUUGAACGCUGGCGGCAUGCUUUACACAUGCAAGUCGAACGGUAACAGGCCGCAAGGUGCUGACGAGUGGCGAACGGGUGAGUAAUGCAUCGGAACGUGCCCAGUCGUGGGGGAUAACUACUCGAAAGAGUAGCUAAUACCGCAUACGAUCUAUGGAUGAAAGCGGGGGACCGUAAGGCCUCGCGCGAUUGGAGCGGCCGAUGUCAGAUUAGGUAGUUGGUGGGGUAAAGGCUCACCAAGCCAACGAUCUGUAGCUGGUCUGAGAGGACGACCAGCCACACUGGGACUGAGACACGGCCCAGACUCCUACGGGAGGCAGCAGUGGGGAAUUUUGGAUAAUGGGCGCAAGCCUGAUCCAGCAAUGCCGCGUGCAGGAAGAAGGCCUUCGGGUUGUAAACUGCUUUUGUACGGAACGAAACGGCUCUGGUUAAUACCCGGGGCUAAUGACGGUACCGUAAGAAUAAGCACCGGCUAACUACGUG
Molecule: ribosomal RNA, 482 nt
Filed under: uncultured bacterium
Lineage: Bacteria
Description: partial 16S ribosomal RNA
Rfam family: Bacterial small subunit ribosomal RNA
Source: RNAcentral